CCUACGGGUGGCAGCAGUGAGGAAUAUUGGUCAAUGGACGAGAGUCUGAACCAGCCAAGUAGCGUGAAGGAUGACUGCCCUAUGGGUUGUAAACUUCUUUUAUAUGGGAAUAAAAUGUUCCACGUGUGGGAUUUUGUAUGUAUCAUAUGAAUAAGGAUCGGCUAACUCCGUGCCAGCAGCCGCGGUAAUACGGAGGAUCCGAGCGUUAUCCGGAUUUAUUGGGUUUAAAGGGAGCGUAGGUGGAUUGUUAAGUCAGUUGUGAAAGUUUGCGGCUCAACCGUAAAAUUGCAGUUGAAACUGGCAGUCUUGAGUGCAGUAGAGGUGGGCGGAAUUCGUGGUGUAGCGGUGAAAUGCUUAGAUAUCACGAAGAACUCCGAUUGCGAAGGCAGUUCACUGGACUGCAACUGACACUGAGGCUCGAAAGUGUGGGUAUCAAACAGGAUUAGAUACCCCUGUAGUC
Molecule: ribosomal RNA, 460 nt
Filed under: uncultured bacterium
Lineage: Bacteria
Description: partial 16S ribosomal RNA
Rfam family: Bacterial small subunit ribosomal RNA
Source: RNAcentral